RNAcentral lists this transfer RNA (67 nucleotides) under Urocynchramus pylzowi. Its description in RNAcentral is "tRNA-Cys". Lineage: Eukaryota; Metazoa; Chordata; Aves; Passeriformes; Fringillidae. The record is from RNAcentral.
GGCUCUGUAGUGAAGUUCAUAGUGGGUUGCAAGCUCAUUGAUGUGCACUAGCCGUGUACCAGGGCCU